AACGAACGCUGGCGACAUGCCUAACACAUGCAAGUCGAACGAGACCUUCGGGUCUAGUGGCGCACGGGUACGUAACGCGUAGGAACCUGCCCUUAGGGUCGGAAUAACUCCCCGAAAGGGGUUCUAAUACCGGAUAAUGUCUUCGGACCAAAGAUUUAUCGCCUUUGGAUGGGCCCGCGUUGGAUUAGCUAGUUGGUAGGGUAAAAGCCUACCAAGGCGACGAUCCAUAGCUGGUCUGAGAGGAUGAUCAGCCACACUGGGACUGAGACACGGCCCAGACUCCUACGGGAGGCAGCAGUGGGGAAUAUUGGACAAUGGGCGAAGGCCUGAUCCAGCCAUGCCGCGUGAGUGAUGAAGGCCUUAGGGUUGUAAAGCUCUUUUACCCGGGAUGAUAAUGACAGUACCGGGAGAAUAAGCUCCGGCUAACUCCGUG
RNAcentral lists this ribosomal RNA (433 nucleotides) under uncultured bacterium. RNAcentral's name for it is "partial 16S ribosomal RNA". It matches the Rfam family "Bacterial small subunit ribosomal RNA", at positions 29 to 507 of the family's 1533-position model. The record is from RNAcentral.